Pteropus vampyrus (large flying fox) is the source of this 161-nucleotide small nuclear RNA. Its record names the gene U2. It matches the Rfam family "U2 spliceosomal RNA". Rfam says of the family: U2 is a small nuclear RNA (snRNA) component of the spliceosome (involved in pre-mRNA splicing). Complementary binding between U2 snRNA (in an area lying towards the 5' end but 3' to hairpin I) and the branchpoint sequence (BPS) of the intron results the bulging out of an unpaired adenosine, on the BPS, which initiates a nucleophilic attack at the intronic 5' splice site, thus starting the first of two transesterification reactions that mediate splicing. NCBI's taxonomy places the organism in Eukaryota, Metazoa, Chordata, Mammalia, Chiroptera, Pteropodidae. The record is from Ensembl.
AUCACUUCUCAGCCUUUGGGCUAAGAUCAAGUGCAGUAUCUGUUCUUAUCAGUUUAAGAGGAAACUAAGUGAUAGAUUAGGUCAGAUUCCAUCAGCCUAUAAUGUCUUCUAGGGCAGGAUAUCUGUCUGUGUGAUAUAGCAUUGUGUUCUCACCACCUGUC